Molecule: ribosomal RNA, 440 nt
Filed under: uncultured bacterium
Lineage: Bacteria
Description: partial 16S ribosomal RNA
Rfam family: Bacterial small subunit ribosomal RNA
Source: RNAcentral
CCUACGGGGGGCAGCAGUGGGGGAUAUUGCACAAUGGGGGGAACCCUGAUGCAGCGACGCCGCGUGGGCGAUGGAGUGCUUCGGCAUGUAAAGCCCUAUCAGCAGGGAAGAAAAUGACGGUACCUGACUAAGAAGCCCCGGCUAAAUACGUGCCAGCAGCCGCGGUAAUACGUAUGGGGCAAGCGUUAUCCGGAUUUACUGGGUGUAAAGGGAGCGCAGACGGCAGCGCAAGCCAGGAGUGAAAGCCCGGGGCCCAACCCCGGGACUGCUCUUGGAACUGCGCGGCUGGAGUGCAGGAGGGGCAGGCGGAAUUCCUGGUGUAGCGGUGAAAUGCGUAGAUAUCAGGAGGAACACCGGUGGCGAAGGCGGCCUGCUGGACUGCGACUGACGUUGAGGCCCGAAAGCGUGGGGAGCAAACAGGAUUAGAUACCCCAGUAGUC